Molecule: ribosomal RNA, 470 nt
Filed under: uncultured Pelotomaculum sp.
Lineage: Bacteria; Bacillati; Bacillota; Clostridia; Eubacteriales; Desulfotomaculaceae
Description: bacterial SSU rRNA
Rfam family: Bacterial small subunit ribosomal RNA
Source: RNAcentral
GACGGGGCCCGCACAAGCGGUGGAGCAUGUGGUUUAAUUCGACGCAACGCGAAGAACCUUACCAGGGCUUGACAUCCCCUGACCGCGUAUGAAAGUACGUUUUCACCCUCGGGUGACAGGGAGACAGGUGGUGCAUGGUUGUCGUCAGCUCGUGUCGUGAGAUGUUGGGUUAAGUCCCGCAACGAGCGCAACCCCUACGUUUAGUUGCUAACGCGUGAAGGCGAGCACUCUAGACGAACUGCCGUUGACAAAACGGAGGAAGUGGGAUGACGUCAAAUCAUCAUGCCCCUUAUGUUCUGGGCUACACACGUGCUACAAUGGCCGGUACAGACGGACGCAAAGCCGCGAGGUGGAGCAAAUCCUAAAAAGCCGGUCUCAGUUCGGAUUGCAGGCUGCAAUUCGCCUGCAUGAAGUCGGAAUCGCUAGUAAUCGCAGGUCAGCAUACUGCGGUGAAUACGUUCCCGGGCCUU